RNAcentral lists this ribosomal RNA (638 nucleotides) under uncultured bacterium gp7. Its description in RNAcentral is "bacterial SSU rRNA". It matches the Rfam family "Bacterial small subunit ribosomal RNA", at positions 149 to 784 of the family's 1533-position model. The record is from RNAcentral.
CGGGGAAACUCGGGCUAAUACCGCAUGAUACCGAGAGGUCAAAGGGGGCUCGCAAGGGCUCUCGCCAUAGGAGGGGUCCGCGUCCGAUUAGCUAGUUGGUAGGGUAACGGCCUACCAAGGCGACGAUCGGUAGCCGGCCUGAGAGGGUGAUCGGCCACACUGGAACUGAGACACGGUCCAGACUCCUACGGGAGGCAGCAGUGGGGAAUUUUGCGCAAUGGGCUAACGCCUGACGCAGCAACGCCGCGUGGAGGAUGAAGGUCUUUGGAUUGUAAACUCCUGUCAGCAGGGAAAAAGCGAAUUGGCCUAAUACGCCAGUGAGUUGAUUGUACCUGCAGAGGAAGCCCCGGCUAACUCUGUGCCAGCAGCCGCGGUAAUACAGAGGGGGCAAGCGUUAUUCGGAAUUAUUGGGCGUAAAGGGCGCGUAGGCGGCUUGGCAAGUGGAUGGUGAAAUCCCUCGGCUUAACCGAGGAACUGCCGUCCAAACUGCUUUGCUUGAGGCCGGGAGAGGCGAGUGGAAUUCCCAGUGUAGCGGUGAAAUGCGUAGAUAUUGGGAGGAACACCGGUGGCGAAGGCGGCUCGCUGGACCGGUUCUGACGCUGAGGCGCGAAAGCGUGGGGAGCAAACGGGAUUAGAUA